GAUGAACGCUGGCGGCGUGCCUAAUACAUGCAAGUCGAGCGAACGGACGAGAAGCUUGCUUCUCUGAUGUUAGCGGCGGACGGGUGAGUAACACGUGUAUAACCUACCUAUAAGACUGGUAUAACUUCGGGAAACCGGAGCUAAUACCGUAUGAUAUUUUGAACCGCAUGGUUCAAAAGUGGAAUACGGUCUUUCUGUCACUUAUAGCGGGAUCCGCGCUGCAUUAGCUAGUUGUUAAGUUAACGGCUUACCAAGGCAACGAUGCAUAGACGAGCUGAGAGGGUGAUAGGCCACACUGGAACUGAAACGCCGUCAAGACUACUGAGGGAGGCACCAGUAGCGAACCUUACGCAGUAGGCGAAAGUAUGACGGAGCAACGGCAAGUGAGUGGUGACAGUCCUGGGAUCGUAAAAAUCUCUUAUUAGGGAAGAACCUAUGUGUAAGUAAAUGUGCCCAGAUUGACGGUAACUAAUCAGAAAGCAACGGCUAACUACGUG
RNAcentral lists this ribosomal RNA (497 nucleotides) under uncultured bacterium. Its description in RNAcentral is "partial 16S ribosomal RNA". It matches the Rfam family "Bacterial small subunit ribosomal RNA", at positions 28 to 507 of the family's 1533-position model. The record is from RNAcentral.